CCGGGGGCGCGGGCGGGUAUGUGAGAGAGAAGGCGAAGGGAGCCGCGGGGUGGGAGAGGAGGGAGUCCCGGCGGGAGGGCGGGGGAGAGACUGGCGGGAGGGGGGCUCCACGGAGCUCCAGCCAGGGCCGCGGUGCGCCUGCACGUCACGGCUACUCAAACCCAAGCACGUCCCGAAAGCGGUAUUUUCUGCGUCUGGGAGGUUUUUGCAUCCUCAGUUCCCACCGCUGGGGCUGGCGGCGACCAACUGUAAGAGAAACUCACUGGGAGGCGAGGCAGGGGGGUGCGGAGGAUGGGAAGGCGACUCUGAAGGGUGGGAAGUGAAUGCUGGACUUGAUCGUCUUUCUCUUUCUUUCAGCGCAGACCUGUCGCAGCCAGAGAGCUGUCAUUUCAGUACCGGGAUUCAGAAUUGAUCCAGUCCGCAGCGGAGGGGGCACAUCCCAGCUACCGAGCUGCUGAGUGUCUCUGGCUGGAACAAUAGUAUUUUUUUCUCUGCGAGGCUGCAAUUAACAUCUUAUUUUUUCUGGCUCCAUACAGGCUUUGUCAGGAUCGCGGUGCGGCGACCGACGUUGGGCUCUUGCAUUGCUUUCUGCUUGGCAAUGGAAUCAUGGUUUCGGGGUCUAAACUUUUGUUUCGUUUUGUAGUCUUAAUGUAUCUGAUUCUUUUUCAAGUUUCCCUAGUAACAGGUUUGGGGACGGGGUGGGAAGAAGCGAGAAAAGGGGUGAAGAGAAAAAAACAGAUUAUAUAGAAAGGGAAAAGGGAUGUUUCCCCACCUUUUAAUCUAACUAUCUAUCUGUCUGUCUAUCUAUCAUCAUAGAUAGUCAUUUUGCCUCCUGGACAGUUGGCUGACGAAGUGUCUGAUAAACCAGCUUCAGAUACAUGCUACAAAAGGCUACUGAGCUGGCCUGAUGAUGAUCCUGCUGAGAUAUAUUUAUAGCAGAUGAUUUGUGGAUGAUAACUACGCCAAGCAAGACACUGUCUCUAGUAACCCCAGGCUCGUCUGACUUCCUCAGGGGAUUAUAAUAAAGAAUCACAAAAAGAACCCUAUAUGGACAGUCUGGUCUCUGGACACUAACAACAGCACAAUCCAAAGGCAAAGCAAGGAGGAACCACCUUGUUUCAUGUCUGCAAGAUGCUCCAUAUGAAAGCAUUACUGACAUGUUGACCCAACAGCAAAAAGAGAGCAGCAGUUUACACACCCUCAGCUCUCUGUCCUUUCCUUUCUAUUGAUGUUGGUCCACUUUUAUGACUGAAUACAUAUUAAAAUCACCAUUUCAAAUUAUAAUUAUCUGCUUUCAUUGGUCUCUUUCACAAGUCUAUGUCUGUAUUUAUGUUUACA
Molecule: long non-coding RNA, 1338 nt
Filed under: Pan troglodytes (chimpanzee)
Lineage: Eukaryota; Metazoa; Chordata; Mammalia; Primates; Hominidae
Description: long non-coding RNA NONPTRT015191
Source: RNAcentral